Molecule: ribosomal RNA, 258 nt
Filed under: uncultured bacterium
Lineage: Bacteria
Description: partial 16S ribosomal RNA
Rfam family: Bacterial small subunit ribosomal RNA
Source: RNAcentral
CGGCGGACGGGUGAGUAACGCGUGGGUAACCUGCCUCAUACAGGGGGAUAACAGUUAGAAAUGACUGCUAAUACCGCAUAAGCGCACGGGGACGCAUGUUUCUGUGUGAAAAACUCCGGUAGUAUAAGAUGAGCCCGCGUCUGAUUAGCUGGUUGGUGGGGUAACGGCCUACCAAGGCGACGAUCAGUAGCCGGCCUGAGAGGGUGAACGGCCACAUUGGGACUGAGACACGGCCCAAACUCCUACGGAAGGCAGCAG